AAUAGAUACCCGGGUAGUCCACGCCGUAAACGAUGAGUGCUAAGUGUUAGAGGGUUUCCGCCCUUUAGUGCUGCAGCUAACGCAUUAAGCACUCCGCCUGGGGAGUACGGUCGCAAGACUGAAACUCAAAGGAAUUGACGGGGGCCCGCACAAGCGGUGGAGCAUGUGGUUUAAUUCGAAGCAACGCGAAGAACCUUACCAGGUCUUGACAUCCUCUGACAACUCUAGAGAUAGAGCGUUCCCCUUCGGGGGACAGAGUGACAGGUGGUGCAUGGUUGUCGUCAGCUCGUGUCGUGAGAUGUUGGGUUAAGUCCCGCAACGAGCGCAACCCUUGAUCUUAGUCGCCAGCAUUAAGUUGGGCACUCUAAGGUGACUGCCGGUGACAAACCGGAGGAAGGUGGGGAUGACGUCAAAUCAUCAUGCCCCUUAUGACCUGGGCUACACACGUGCUACAAUGGAUGGUACAAAGGGCUGCAAGACCGCGAGGUCAAGCCAAUCCCAUAAAACCAUUCUCAGUUCGGAUUGUAGG
This 529-nucleotide ribosomal RNA is filed under the name uncultured bacterium. RNAcentral describes it as "bacterial SSU rRNA". It matches the Rfam family "Bacterial small subunit ribosomal RNA", at positions 777 to 1304 of the family's 1533-position model. The record is from RNAcentral.